Molecule: long non-coding RNA, 9541 nt
Organism: Phyllostomus discolor (pale spear-nosed bat)
Lineage: Eukaryota; Metazoa; Chordata; Mammalia; Chiroptera; Phyllostomidae
Exons: 2
Source: RefSeq, a predicted model, not a curated record
AAUGAGCAUCUAUUACACAUUUAAUGAACAUCUAUUAAAUUAAGGUUUCACCUCACCAUCCCAGCUCACAGAUUCAGCCCUUUUGAGAAUGGCUAAACUCUGCUCUGAAAGAACCCACAACCAUAAGGACUGGUUGGGUUUUGCUGUAAAGAGAAAGUGGGGCUUUUACCUUUUUUAGGGUCUAUAGUUGAACUCUUACCCUUGGCCUACUUCGGUUUUAUCUCCUACUUGGCCAUUGGGAUGGCCAAUCAUUGGCUCACUGCCACAAUGGACCUGGUGAAACUAAUAACUAACUAAUAAUUAGUUAAUUAAUAACUAAGAUACUUAUGGCCCAUGGUGAGUGCCAUGGAGGAAAUGAAACAAACAGGAUGAUGAGCUCAGGAGAGGCAGAAGUAGGAACCUUUAGACAGCUGUGGUCAGAGAAGUUUCUCUAUGGAGAAAGUGCUCCAGAAAGAGAUGUCUUUGAGGGGCAGAAAGGAGACCAGUGUGGCUGAAGGGCAUGAAGAGCCGGCUGCUGGAAGACUGCUCGGAACCUCAUCCCCUUGCUGCUCCUGAUGCGGGCGAUCCUCCGACUGCUCGGCGCCAACCACAACAUGCUACCCACCGUGAGAGAGCAGGACGCGAGCUGCUCUAGUCAGGACUUAUCGUCUAUCAUACUGAUUGACGAAACCAAGAGUGAGCAGAAAAAAUAAACAUGAACAGAGGCUGCAGUGUAUGGGCCAGUCAGCUGGGAGUUUUAGUAUUUGGCCUUGGUGAUCCUACUCUCAUGGUAGGUUAUCUUUUCCUUGUGCUAUCAUUUAUCAUAACUUUGAGGGCCAGGGAGAGAAACAAACCUACAAUUUUUCUAUUGGUUACAUUCAUUAGACUGGUUUCUUUUCUUUUCUUCUUUUUUUUUUUUUUAGCACUCCUUCCUUUGCCCCCACCACAUAAUAAUCCCAUCCCCUAAAGAACGUGAAAUUAAAUCUAAAUACAGUUCUCCCCUUUUACUCCUAUUCCAGCAUAGAUCAUUGCAAGUAAUUAACCUUUGUUAUUCCAUCAAAUCCAGAAUGCAAACCUACAUGUUAAUUUACUUAAGUCAGACCCCAUAGUAAAUCUGCUUCUAUACCAGCUAAACGCAAUGAAGAUUCUGAAUGUUGUUCAGUUAUUUGGAUCACUAACAUCUUCUUAAAUAAUGGCACUUGACUUUUUUAGGUGCAGACCGUGUUUUGUGUCGGUCCUGACGGCCACUGUAAAGCACUCCCCCAAGUGUCAGUAACAAAGAUGAUUUGUAUGUGGCUUGCAGUCUUCCAGUGUCUAAUAGCUUUCUCAUUCCAACCCAGAAACAUGGAGCACAGGGCAGCUGGUUAAAGCUGAUACAAGCAUUUCUUCUCUCAGCAGGCUAUUCUUGCAUAACCAUUUAUUUUGCAGAGUUUUAAAGUGCCUGAAGGAUUUAAUUAUGUACAUAGACAACCCCUAUAAACUCUAUUCUAGGGUUUUUAUUGACUUUUGUGCUGGGCAGCUCUUAGGCAUUUCAAUUAAGUGUUUUUAUAAGAAAAACUACAAUAUUGUAAAAAAAAUUCUUUAUAGAUACUUCUAAACAGUGUUCCCCCCUCUGAUUGAAUAAACUCUAUUUAAUUGACAAAAAAAAAUCUAGGUUAAUUCAAGGUUUAGUUUUUCCACUUUGGAAAAAUGGAAGGUUUGAGUCCCACACAGGUUUGUGAAAAUGGACCUGCCAAUAUCAGUGAAGGCACAAGGGAAGGGGAAGGAAGAUUACUUUGAAACAUACUCUGAAAAGUCGCAAGGCUACCUGUUACUUAGGAGUUUACCUAAACUCAUAAGGGCAAAAACCUAAAUGCAAAAUUUUACAUGUUCCACUUAACAAGUGCCGAAUAAUAAAUUACCAAAUUCAUUUGGAGCACCCGCCUGACAGGUCUAACCCUCAAAAGUCUCCCGGAGACCCCAAAGCCGCCUUUGUCUGCCUUCUUCAAUUGCAGGGCUCAAGUAUUUACAAGGCUUCUGCAAACCUGCCUUCAUUAUGAUGUGGGAUAUUUCAGUCCCAGCAGGUGGCCAACAGGAGACCAGACCUGCCCGUGAAAUAUGUAAUACUUUUUCAUAUACUUUAACCAGAAAUGUGCCCCUCCACAACUCUCCUAACUGUUCUAAUUUCCCUUUCUCCUCUUAAUCUCCUCAGCAAGCCAUGAGCUUGCAUUAAAAUCUACCUAAAACAUUUCACCCACAGGCAAUGUAAUUCUGAAACAAGCAACCAACAUUUCACAGCUCUGGAGUAAUAGAUUAAUUUGAACCUAAUGUUGCCGUCGUUUACUGCUCCAAAUGUUCUGGUGUAGACAUAGCCCCAAGGCAUGGUGCUGUGGCAUGCACAACUUUGGGAGCCGGAGCUACAGUUGGCUUAACAUCUGUGCAUCACAUUUGCCAUGUGCCUCAUUAUCCUGCACCCCACUGUGCCUACCUGUCCCCCUCAGCUUCUCAGCCACAGGCGAUCCAAUUUUUUUCCCCUCCAACUAAGAAUCUUUGUUCUCCUUCUCACUUACUAAAUUUUUGCAAGACCUCUGCACCCAAGCCGUGGGGAUUCUGUCCAUGUGAACAGCCCAGGCCCCUCAGAUUCUUAAUUCUCCAUUAGGAAGAGGAAAAUCACAACAUUAAGUCUCUGACAUGCCACUGCAUAAAUUGUGCCGUGUGCAGAAUCUACUGGAGUCUGUGACCAAACACGAGAGCGUGUAAUAAAGCAUGGCAUUGUUGGUUUUGAUUUUAACAAGUUUGGUCAGUUUCAAUUAUCUGUAAGCUAAGAAAGAGGAACUUCCAAUUCCAGAUUGAAGAGGGACCAAAAAAAUAGUCACAGAAACAAAAGAUUAUCAUGUCAAAAAUUAAAACCAAGGGUCUUGAGCUAUUUAAGAAGUUAGCAUUUCAAAGCAUAUUGUGACAAAUAGUGGAUAUAUACACCCCUCCCCUGCCAAAAAAAAAACAACACCAAGGCUUUAAAAAUACAUGUAGUCACCAGGCCAAACAGCUGCUUAAAUUUUAAUCCUGCUUAAACACUGAAAGAAUCGUAUGACCCCUUUAUUGGUUUUCCAUUGGAAGUGUUUGGGGCACCCACUUAACAAGAGACAGAAUACAGAUUUAGUCCUGCCAAAAUAAUGUAAAAUAUGCAAAAUAAAAUAAAAUAUGUAAAACUCAAAUAAUAUCUGCUGUUAUAUAGGUAUUGUUAUUAAUAAUAACAUCAAUAAUGAGAUACAUAAAAAGCAACAGAACAGCCACACUAGGGUUUAGAUAUCAAAAAGCCACCAUCCUUGCCACAAGAUGAAAGAAAAAAUUCAACCCAGAGGAUUUUGCCUCAAAAAGACCAAAGCUACGAAUAAAGAAAUGUUCGAACAUUAUCUACAUAUUACAUUUGACAAGCUGGAUUCAGACAGUGGUCCACACAGAAGAAAGGCGGUUUAGUGCUCUUCAUUUAUUUUCCAGUAUGAUAGGAGAACAAUUUACUGCGGGAGAUAGGAAACUUAGUUUUAAACAGUCACUUUCAUAGAGCUGAUAAUUAAAAGAUAAAUCUGACUCAAACAAUCCCAACAACCCGUCACUCCGCUUUUUAAUCCCUAGAUGAGAACAGAAUGGAGGUCUUGGAAGAGAAUCUUUGUAAUGCCUGCCCCAUGUAGAACUUCCCCUGUGCUCUGGAAACUGUACUGGAUUUCCACGCUGCCCCGCAUAAUCCUCAAAAUCCACCCACUGCCGAGCACUGAGGCUUGCACAUUUCAUUAUAUGCUUGAAUUAAUUUAUCCUAUAUGGAAUUUGUUACCUUUACAAUAAAAAAGUCGCCAUUCAUUAUUGAGAGUGGACAGAUGGAACAUGUUCAACUUAAGACAUCAAUGAGAAGAGAGGGAAAAACUUAUAAUCCACGUGGCCCAGCCUUCUCCAUCUGGUCGUUCCCAGCUUGUCUGCCAAGACUUUUUUUCCCCCCUCAAAUAAAAGUGAGCAUUUCUCUUUGGAGUUAAUGGAACAUUCUUAGAUAUUGACCCUGAGCCUGAUUUAUAGAUAAUAAGCAACCAUACAAUUAAAAUGUGAUAUUUUCCAAAGGUAAUCUAUGUCAUAGGGGAAGGUUUUGAACUAACUGAAGAAAAAAAAAAUAGAACUACUACUUAUCUAAAAGCAUUACCACAUAAACAAAAUGGUUUUUGCUUUGAUAAAUCAGGAAAGCCACUGAACAAGUUAUUUCAACCUCUAGAAAAACAUAUCGUAAGCUACAUAAAUGCAAAAUCAGGCAACCCAGAGGCUGGCGGUCUCAGGCAGGAAGACCAGCGGCACAUCCUUCCCGAGCCCUUGAGCCGGCAGCUGGCACCUGAUGUGGGAGAGCAGAGGCUUGAUGGACAGGUGCCCCCCGAACCAUAGCUGUUACACGACCACUUUACUGCGACGUUGCGCACAAGCCUGUCACUCUUUGAAAUACGUUACCAUAUUUUGCUAUGUAUAGUGGGCAUUUUUUUUGCCCACACUUUUGAGGGAUAAGGAUGCUCAUUACCCAUGGGUAUAAUGAUUACAUACCAUGGGGCGUAAUAAUCCCACGUAUAACGCACACAAAAUCAGGGGUGCGCAUUACACAUGGCAAAAUAUAGCGAAUCCCAUCAUAUCUCUAUAAAACUUAAGGAAACAAUCCCACCUAUUAACUGAAACAGUACACAUACACUUUCCAUGCAUUUGCCUCUCCUCCCAUGCUCUUGCUUUUUAUUUCUGUUCUUUUUUUCAUUAAGCUAUGUCACUAUAUAAAGACACAGGCUGGUUCUUUGUUUAUGAGCGCACCGGCUCCAGGCCCUGCGAAUAAGAUCAGGAAGCACGCACCUAGUUUUUGGCAAUAGCCUCCAUUUUAAAAGAUCCUUGUAGAGGGAAAAAAGCUAAUUACUUAAUUCUUGUAUUCAGGGAUGAACUAAGUACUUUAAUGUAACAAUGUAACAUGUUUUAAAUGUAUUUCUUAAAACCAUUUUGAAACCUUAUAGCAAUCUUCAUAAUAAACGCUUAUUAAACAAUAUAUGCUUAGCCCACAAUCCCAAAAAUGUUGACUAAACUGUGAUGGGUAUUCUAUAGUAUAUUUUUGACACUGAGAAAGUCUUAAAAAAAUCAUACAUCACUGAUAUAUGAGUAUAUUUAAACUGUACCUUUGGAUACUAAGAAUGUGACUACACAAGAGAUUUUUUUCCAAAUUACUUUGUUAAAAUGUGAUAGAAUUCAACUAAACUGGAACUUGGGUCAACACGAUACCAGCUAGGCAGGUAAUUUCUGCCUACCUGCUCCAUUUCCUCUUCUGUAACAUAAGAAUCACUAUAAUAAUACCUGCAUCAUAUAACCAUUAAGAUUAAAUGAAAUAAUAUAUGUAAGAGGUUAACAUAGUAUGUGGCACAGCAUAAAACAAUAUAUUAGCAAUUACUAUUUUUCAUUCUGGAUGAAUUCAGAAUUUUUUUGUUGGCAUGUCCCAAUAAAACUUUAUUUCUAAAAAAAGGUGGUGGAGUAGAUUUGAUCUAUGGGCCAUAGGUUGCUGAACUGGCAUUCAUCAUUUUUAACAAAGCUUAAAACAGGUAAUGUUGUUAGAACAGCACUAGAAUUAUCUACAAAAAUUAUCACAAACCAAUGACCACGGUCUCUCAACACUCGUCAUUAGUUUGUUCUGGAACUUGUGAUGAGCGCUGAAACUGAGGAACACCUAGCAAACCCAGAGUGUGGAAAUGUUUUCUCCUGCCGGGAGGCGCUGCGACUCAUACAAGUUGUAGCAAGUGAGCCGAGUCCCAAACAAGCACAGGUGCUGCGUACUGAAACAUUUCUUUCUCAUCAAAAUGCGAUGAAUCCAGGGUUUGACAAGGUCUGAAGCUGAUGAGUACCGAGAUAUGACUGUACUCUGAAUCUCCAGGGGGUAAUUAAAAGGUGUAGCCAGAAAUGAGAACCUCUAAUGAAGAUGUCAAAAUUUAGCAAAUUGGUGGUCCCCUAAAUGCUCUGCUUUGUCUGCUUCAUUGGUAUCUUCCUGCAGCAAAGCCUAGCUCAGUGUUUUGCGUACAGCUGAUGUGAAAUUAUCAAAUAAAAGAGCGAACUGCUAAAUCUGUCUCAGCAUGGAUUGCAUAAAUUCUUAGUGGAAGAGUUAAGUUUUUCUGUAUAGUACAACCUGUUCAAGGGUGCACUUCUAUGCAUUGUUCUGGGAAUACAUUUCUGUUUCCUGUUUAUUUAAGAUCUCUCCAUUCAUCUCUUCUUUCAGUACUAUUAUUAGCUGAACUGUGUCCUCCCAAAAUUGAUAUGUUGAAACCCCAACCCCCAGCCCUUCAAAUGUGGCUGCAUUUGGACAGAGGGUCUUCCAAAGUGAUUAUGCUAAAACAAGGCCCUUAGGGUGGACCCUAAUCCAGUGUGGCUGGUGUCCUCGAAAGAAGAGAACAUUUGGACACACAGAGAAACCAAGGGUGCAGAAAGGAUAGGCUAUGUGAGGACACAGGGAGAAGGUGGCCAUCUACAAGCUAAGGAGAGAGGCCUUGGAUAAAACCAAACCUGCCAACACUUUGAUCUUGAAUCAUGAGCCUUCAGAACUGGGAGAAAAUAUAUUUCUGUUGUUUAAGCUAAGCAGCCUGUGGUAUUUUGUGAUGGUAACCUUCACAAAUAAACUAAGUACAUUCAUUUCUCUAUUCAUUGACCCACCCACAGGUAAGGGUUCAGGCUACCCUUCUCUCCCAAAUGCCCUACUUCCCAACAUAAUCUACAAUGUAUCAUAUUUAUUUAUAUGUCUGAAAGCCCAUGAAACUGAGAUUUCUUAGACUAGCAACAUCCUUGUCUACCUCAUACCUACCAUGUACCUGGCACAAUAGCUGAAUGAAUUAGUGAAUGAAUAAGUGAAUGAACAAACACCUAAAUAGCUACCAAAGCAAAUGAAAGAAUAAUCAGUACUUAUAAUAGAACAACUGGUGUUACUGAUGAGCAAAGCAAACAUAAAUAAAUAUCUGAAGAAAAGGACAGAACAAUACACAAUUCUACAAUCUCUGCACUACUAUGAACAAUUCAAUCAAUAAAAUCUACAAAUAUUCUUUGCUUAAGAUCUGCAAAUCUUCCCUGGCUCUCCGCCCAAGGCAGAGGUGUGUUCACUCUGAUUCAGACCCAUCUGUAUUCUUUCCACUUUGAGGGCUGUGAAAGUGCUGCUGAGAUUUGAAAAUCUGGCCUGAUAUUGCAACCAGCUUUUAAAAACUUUGAUCCUUAAAACUCUGGGUUUAAAUAAAGUUAUGUGCUAACAAAGUGUGAAAGAACCUGGAUUGCAUUGAUAUGGAACUAUGGAAUUACUGAGAAGCAAUAACAUUUGGGCACGGUGACUUAGAACACAGUUAAAGCCAAACACAGGCCUCGGAAGCCACCCUAGUCUUAUGGCCAUUUUGUGUCAUUCAUUCAUGGCAUAAAACCCAGAAGGUGGCCCUCGGAGAUUAUUGGUGAUGAAACAAUGGGAAUUAAAGUGAACCAGCCAAUUUAAGUUUCAUUCUUUCCCUUUCUACAAUUAAGUGAAACCAAGGUUACAGAAUCCGUUUCAGAAUUUAUUUUUAAAAUACAAUAAAAUGGUGUGAGUAGACAUCCUAUUUUUAUUGGUACUUACAUUCUGCAUAUGAUUAGGCACAAACUUGCAAAGAAUUAACCACUUCACCAACCCAAUGGAUCUUGCAGGAGCCUGGAGUGUUUUGAAGGGAAAUUGGGGUGGGGGGGGUGACCUGAAGCCUACUCCCUUGGGUCAGUGCAUGCUGGGAGGGGAAAUGAGCUACAGAGCAGACAAUUUUCAGCUUCAGUGGUUUUACUUUCUUUACCAGUUUUCUUUUACUCACAAAAACACACUGACAAAACAAAGGACACAGAAUUAAUGACCCAUGCAUUCUGUCAAUUGACUCUUAGUAGCAGUGGCCAGUUCACCUUAAUUUUUUUGUUCACAUUGAACAUGUAGCCCAAGGCAUUGGUUAAGGUUCACUUAAGAAUUCUUCAAAGGCAUCACUUGGUUUUCAUUAAUUUGUGAACUGUAACUUCUCCUUUCUGCUGAGGAACCCACAAACCAAGUGAAGGCCUUUAUGCAAAAUAAAAGAGCAAAAGGCCAACGUUUUGGCCAACCAGCUCUUCUUUUACCUUUAGACCAGUCACUUAUUAUUCAUGAAUAUUAGAGUAAAUGAUAUCUAUCUGAUUUUUCUAGAACUUAAACUUCAUUUAAAACUUCUCAUCUUUCUCAGAAACCCAAGUGCCGACUUUCUGCUAUCGGAGAGAAGUAAAUGGCGCUGUGGCUUGUUAAUUCUGGGUAAUUAUAUCUUAAUUAUUACUGCAGUCUUUAAGAAAUUAAGAAAAAAUUUUUUAUGAACUCUAACUGUAGUAUUCAUGAAAUAUGAUCAACUAAAUAAAAUAUAAGAACAUAAAAGACCAUAGGAAUUCAAAAGUACCACAUGGGGCAAAGCAGGUUUAUAGUUGUGAGUGUGCAAAACCCAGUGUAUCCUUUUAAUAUUAUUUAUUAGUUAUUGCAUGAUUUUCCCACGUGAACAACUGUGAGCGCACUUCUGCCCCUCCCUGUACCUGCAAAUAGAACUUAGUACUUACAUACCUGCACACAGACCACGCCGCCUCUGAAGACACCCCGCACUGCCGUUUCCUUUCCCUUACUGGCCCACAAUGCACACUCAGAUAUUACGGUAAAUUUUGCUAUUUGCUCAAAAGUUACAAAGAAGGUUCAUCUCUAUGAAUAUCUUUUUUUCAGAAAACUGCAAAGCGUUGAACAGUUUUACAAGACUACGUCGGUCAUGAAUACCGAGGCAUGAACAGUGGGAUCUGAGCUUUCUGUACCAAAUUUGAAACCAGAAUGCAGGAUGAGGAGACGGCUGCUUUGAAGCCUUGUAAGAAGUUGGUAGUUUCAACAUUCUCCUCAUUUAAAACACGUCUGGUAUCAAGACAGUUCUAAGUAUAAAGGAGUCUACCAUGAGGCCACUUGGUAGUUUUUAGCAAAGGAAAUGGAGCCCAUGAAGCAAAUGUACCAUUCCUCUGUAUGAGCCUCUCAGACAGUUAUGAACUAUGAUAGCAAUGCUUGGUUGGUACAGCUUCAUGUUAGUUGCAUGUGUCAGCAUUUCCAUUACAAACCCUUGAUUUCCAAGGUUUUAUAAUUCAGCUGUGGAAAGUUGCUUUAGAAAGAAAGUUGGCAGGGCAGUCUCAGCCAGGGAGUUUAUCAAAUUGAACAAAUCUUUGUUUAGCUAUCUCUCAGUUCUGUGAGCCAAGGUCUACUCCCAGUUAGACAUGCCAGACUUAUAGGGACUUCAAUGCCAGAGAGAGCUUUUUUCUCUCUCUUUAAAUUCACUCCACAAGAGCUUCUCUCAUUCUUGUUUCAGAAGCCGCCAGGAUCCAGCUCAUAUCCUGUGUAACCCAGUGGGAGAGGAGCCACAUCGUAUGUAACCCUGUAGGACAUAUGAAUCGAGUCUUGGCCAAGUGUCUCUGGCAUAAAAUGUGGACAGCACUACAGAGAGACUUGGAACUUCUGAAUAUGUGUGUAAUUACAAUGUAGGCACAUCACACUACUGCUUGCAGA